CAGCAGCCGCGGGAAUACGUAGGUGGCAAGCGUUGUCCGGAAUUAUUGGGCGUAAAGGGCUCGCAGGCGGUUUCUUAAGUCUGAUGUGAAAGCCCCCGGCUCAACCGGGGAGGGUCAUUGGAAACUGGGAAACUUGAGUGCAGAAGAGGAGAGUGGAAUUCCACGUGUAGCGGUGAAAUGCGUAGAGAUGUGGAGGAACACCAGUGGCGAAGGCGACUCUCUAGUCUGUAACUGACGUUGAGGAGCGAAAGCGUGGGGAGCGAACAGGAUUAGAUACCCCUGUAGUCCCUGUCUCUUAUAC
Molecule: ribosomal RNA, 301 nt
Filed under: uncultured bacterium
Lineage: Bacteria
Description: partial 16S ribosomal RNA
Rfam family: Bacterial small subunit ribosomal RNA
Source: RNAcentral